This is a long non-coding RNA of Schistocerca serialis cubense, 2718 nucleotides long. RefSeq lists it as uncharacterized. The record is from RefSeq and is a predicted model, not a curated record. The transcript has 9 exons. NCBI's taxonomy places the organism in Eukaryota, Metazoa, Arthropoda, Insecta, Orthoptera, Acrididae.
UUCGGCGGCAGCCCGGAGCGGUCCCCGAGCCGCCGUCUUUCCGCCGCCGCACUGCUGCAGAGUCAACACAUUCAACGGUGUCUCAUAUUUUCAAAGGUCCAAAACCGCAAGGCGUCUUCGAGAUGUUCGUCUUUGGUGUCUGGUGCUUUGUGGAGAAACAGUCAGCUUCCUAUAUUUGGGCGUGAUAGUGCCUUCUGUUACAAACAUUGGAGCAGCAGCAGCUGGUAACUGGAAGUCUCCACCAAGUGAAAUAGCUUGUGCUAGCAGCAUCAUCAGAGCAGCACCUGAGGGCCCUUGAGCUGCUGCUGCUGGAGUCUGAAGUGCAGCAAGAGAGCGACAUCCGUGAGAUGGAUAGAUGGCUCAACAACAGCAACAUCAGUUCCAGUGAGGAUGAGAUGCUUGAGUGGUAACGUUAGAUGAUGGCUGCUGAAAGGCAGUGUGAUGCCUCCCUUCUGGAGCAGGAGGUGGAGAUAUUUGAUUGGAUGGGAGAACUACCAGAAAGAGCGACUGAACUGCUCAAUCCUGGGACCUAGAAUGUAAAAGGUGACAUCAACACCGCCACGACAGGAGACGGCUGUGACACGUGCACCUAGAGCGGUGAUUGUAGGGGCGGGUGUCACACACACACACACACACACACACACACACACACACACACACACCCGAGCGGUCUUCACCGUCGUGCAACGAUCUCCCACCCCCGAGGCUGGCGAUGGUGAAGGGUCCAGGAUGCAGCGGCAUCAGCGUGUGCCCUCUCCACAGCCUAGAUGCUUCCUCAGCAGCUCACAACCACCACCUCUUCCUCCUCCCGCUGUUCAUCCACGCCAGCAGCAAAAGGUUGCUGACGCUUAUCGGGAGCUCAACACCGGCACUCAGCGGCAGCCGCCGAGUAACAGCACCACAUAACGUCAAAGCAGUAGAUGGACACGGCAACAACGCCUCAUUAAGCGAUAAUUGUGGCACCAUUGGAUUGAUUGGCUGAUUGCGUGGAAUGCGUAAAACAAAUAUGUAACUGAUACUGCUGCAGAAGUCUGGUCUAUGGCCGAGAAGACGACAGCCUGUGGCUGUUGCUGCUGUAAAACACUUCACACAGUGCCGGUGGUGGUUGCCCAUGAUAAAGGGCAAAUCGAUCUGGACUGCUGCUACUCCUCAGCUAACAGUCUUACCUGAAGCAAAAUAUAUGUACUGUUGCUGUGGCACAUCAGUGUAAUUAAUGAUGUCUGUAAUGUACAUAAAUCUGUGUCUGUAUAACUUGUAUAAAAAAAGUCGAUGAACUAAAACACAUCUACACUUCUCAGUGUCAAAAGAAUUGUUUCAUCUCCUAAUUUACAUAUAUGUGUGCUGGUAAAUAAAACAUCGCAGCGACCAGGUGAGGUGAUGAACUGUUGUAUAGUACUUGGAGAUGGAAGUCAUGCCUUAACAUCUCACUGCUUUCACAAGAAUGUCUUAUAUUUUCUGCUUAGACCUGUGGAUGAGCUAUCAUGAAGUGUUGAUGUUAACCACCUGUUGAUGUACUCAAUGGCUUUGCCGCUUGGGUAACACUGGUUCCAGCCCGAUUAUUGACAUUAAGCAACGUUGGGCUCAGCUAGUGCUUAGAUGGAUGACUUUACAGGGAAAAUAAGGUGCCGUUGGUUCUGAGGGCACGCAAGUAAUGUUCAGUUGAAAGAUAUACUCCAGGCUGUUGUGCCAUUAAAAGAAACCUCUGGAUAUGAUUUACAAUAACAUGAGUUAGUAUUACUUCAAAGUGUAGUAACAACAAUACUAUCCUGGAGGUUAAAAUGGCACUUUAUUAACGAUCUGGACAACUUCUGCCUAUAAUAUACAGUGACAAGUGGUUUUGUGCGUGGCUGUGUUGAAGUGUCAAAUUCAUUAAAGCAGCGGCAUUGUACAUGAAAGUGUCAUCCGUGGUCUAUAGUUCCGCUUGGGACUCCAUGCAGCUGACGUGUUAUGCAUCCAGGCCACCUUAGUAUGUAGAGUCCAAUAAGUCUGUGAUACGGGCACAAGAAGUGUAUCAAGAAUAGAUGAAUUCCUACAUCUGUCAACACCCUCUGACGUCUCUAUCCGCCGAGAUAUUCAUGACUAUCGGAUGGUGUAGAAACAGAAUCCACUAAAAUGUGAAUGCAGCAUGGAAGAUGAACAAAACCAUACAUUCCAAGAACUUUAGUAGUGCUAUUCAUGGAGAGAAACUCAAAUGGAAUUGGAAUGUGAUCAAAGUCGUUUAGUCAGCAACAAAAAUAACACUGUGAUCUAGAUUGCCAUAUCUGUGAUAAACCAGGUAUUGGUGCAUAGGUUGGUGUUCCAGAGGAAUGGUAGUGGCGACGAUCUUGCUGUUAAGGAUAACACUUGUGGCUGGAUUAGUUUUAUGUUCAAUAUGUAUUUACCUGGCUGCACAUUAAACUUCUUUUGCUACAAAAAUUAAAGUUAUAAAAUUCGCUUAAAACUGCGACUGUGGCACUCUCGCCGUGGGAGUAAAGCAUAGUGUGGAUGUGGUGCCCUCUAACAGCUAUCUAAGUCCAUUCCUCCGGUGGGCAUUCAAUACCUGUGGCACCUCAUACCAGAUGGAUACUUGGAAACUGUGUAAACUAUAAUGUAAUGUAGUGGUGUCGUAAUAUUUAUUUAUUUCCUUUAUAUUUCACAUGUGAUCUAUGUGAGACUGUAGAUCUUAAUAGAUUGUAAUGUCACAAGCUUUUAUCAAUAAAGAUAUAUUCAGGAAAAAAA